RNAcentral lists this transfer RNA (73 nucleotides) under Drosophila incompta. RNAcentral describes it as "tRNA-Lys". The record is from RNAcentral. Lineage: Eukaryota; Metazoa; Arthropoda; Insecta; Diptera; Drosophilidae.
UCACCCGAUGACUGAAAGCAAGUACUGGUCUCUUAAACCAUUUUAUAGUAAAUUAGCACUUACUUCUGGUGAA